Non-coding RNA from Chelonoidis abingdonii (Abingdon island giant tortoise), 3520 nucleotides. Lineage: Eukaryota; Metazoa; Chordata; Testudines; Testudinidae. The record is from RefSeq and is a predicted model, not a curated record.
CAUGAAAUCAGGUUUCAUAAGAUGGCUGAAUCCAGCUGACUGCACAGGCCCUGGGGAGGGUAACAGGACAGUAAGGAGCAUUCAGCUCCAAGUUCCUGGUUCUAAUGAAGCCUGGGCAGGUAGAGAUUGAAAGUGGUUACUAUGAGAUGGCUGGUAGAUAGACCAGUCAGUCAUUUCAUACAGGCUAAGUUCAUGUCUUAAUGAAUAGAUGCACACACAUUAAUCACACUAACUGGCUUCUUUAUUAGUAGUCCUAAAAAAGAAGCCAAGGAAUGAAUGGGCUACGUCUUGGGAUUCUCUCCAAGACCUUUUCCACUUGGCUUAUUCAAAGCACCUUGUCCAGUUCUGGAAGAACAUUUUGUCCAGCUUUCUGGGAUCCAAAAAACCUCAGUUCAACUCCAGCUCAUCACUCAGGUUACUUUUAUUAGGCAUGUAACAGCCCUAAACCCAUGCUGGCCAGGCCCCGAUACAGGUGGCUUAGACACAGGGUAACACCAUAAUUCCAAACCAUAUCACACACAAUGCACAUUUUUACUAGCUACUAACAUCUAUACUAUUUGAAUCUGGUUUGGACAUUGUAUAGAUCAUGUAAGGACCAAGUACUUUGCAAAUCAUGUAAGGACCAAUCACUUAUGUCCUCACCUUAUCUGCAUUUGAAACUUAUCAGUUCAGAGAGUUCCCAGUUACCUCAACUCGCCUGAAAACACCAUCUCCUGCACACAGCCUGUCACACCCUAUUUACAGUUUAACCUUGCACUCAAAUCAAGCUAUGUGCAAGCUUAGUCAUGCCCAGCCAGAUCUAUAGCAACUGAACUAAUCUUUCAUCCCUAGAGGCAAUCCCUCUUAAGGUCAUGGUUGAAGCACAUCAGCAGGGAACCUUGUACCAGGACAUCCCUUGUUCUGCAGGGCUGCCAAUGUUGUAUUUUACUAGCACAAAUUCACACAUACAGUAUUUAUUUUUUUUAAAUAAAGGACCCAAACCUCUGCAAUGAAGGUUCCAAAGGCUUAAAAAAAGGAAAGUGCUCAUAACACCAAGACUUAGUGCGUAUAAUUACCUGUGCACCAUGUUGAAAAUGUGCUGGUAAGAUAAUGCAAGGAUAUCUGCCAAGUCUGAGAGCCUUCUGGGAUCAGCUGGACAAUCCACUGACUCUCCUCCAUCAGUCUGAUACAAAGUCCACUGAAUUCAAGAGAAUACGAAAUCAGAGCAGGCUCCCAUCCCCCCAUAUGGCUUCUGGGACAUCAACAGCUGGCCAGGAUAUUCUGCACAGAGCCUCUGCAGUAGCUCUGGUCAAUGGAGCAGCACUGCUGGGGAUUCACCUGGCCAUGGCUGCCAUAAAACACACACAGAUAAUACUAUCAGGUUUGUAGUUUAGAUUAAUUCUGGUUUGAUGGAAAAUCCUACAUCGAAUUUGUAGUCACACUGAGAAUAUAACAAAAAGCAGAGUUGUUUCUACUGGAGAUUUAAUUUUAUACAAGAUAAAAAAAUUAAAGAGCACCCUAGAAAUCUUCAGUUUGUACAAGAAUAACUAAUAAGGGUAAGUUUUCACUAUAUAAACAUGAACCAGAUACAAGCGACCAUUUAGAAGGGAUGGUUCCAAUUUCAAUAUUUACUUAUCAUUGUGCACAUUCAAAAUCAAUAGUGUGUUCCUUUGAUAUUAUUCCCCCCACACCAUCAUUUCUAGUGGAAUGUAUGUUUAAUAUAGACCUGGCGUAAAUAUUUAAUUUCCACACAUAGAACAGCAAAAUCCAAUCCAUUACUAUGGGUCACGACCCCUUCAGAACAGGGACACAGCUCAUAAAAUAGUAAGUAUAAGAAGCCAAACCAUUUCUCAGAAGACAAGGUUACAUGAACUACAAAAUAGGGAACUCAAUUACCAUAAGUUACAGUAGAUAUUUUAAAUUAAUGAAAUGAACUGGUAUUUUUCAUUGGUUUUCAUUCACUCAAUUAUCUGUAUAUUUUGUUGCUUGAAUUGCAUCAUCGACCAGACUUGUGCAAACAUAACUAUAAUAUUCCUGUUUAUUUCAUGUUCAGCAAGUUGUUGUAAAACAUUUCAAGCUUCUUCUCACUGGGACCACAGGACUCCACAUCAGUGAGACAGGCCAGAAGAACAAAAGAAGAAAAAAUACUGGCAAGGAGAGCAGUCAUCUCUUUUGAGCUACACAGAGCUGAAGAAUGUUGCAAGGAAGGCUCCUCCCCAACUCUGGGGGCACAAGGACACAGAUGGUGCCUUCCUUCUCCAUUCCCCCACCCCGACCGUGGCCUUGGUGAAAAAGAACUCCACAGGGGGGCCAGCCAGUGACUCAUCUGGAGGAGCAGUGACAGAAGCACCUACAGUUUUGACUGGACUUCCUCUGCUCUGUGCUAAUUGGCUGUUUGCUGCAAACCUGCCUCUCCCCGUCUCAUCUCAGCUUCACUCCACAACUGUCCUCCCUUCUCCUGCCCCUGUCGUGCUCGCUCAUCUUCCUUUCUCUUUAGCUUAUCCCCUCCCAACUCCCCUCCCCUCACAAAAAUGUCGUGGCACUGAAGUGAUGGCUUGUGCCAUCACACUGCUUUGCAUGUUAUUCCUCCCCGCCCCACACUCUCUGUCUGCCUGGCCUAUUUAGACUGCAAGCCCUUCAGGGGGCAGGGAUUGCCAACUACUCUGUACAGCGCACCACUCUUCAUUGGUCCUUAGGCACUGCUGUAAUAAACAUGAUUAAUAAUAUUAAAUACAAAAUCUUGCAGGCAUUCUCAGUUCCGAAGCUACUACCAGGGUCUAACCAUCUCCUUAGUACCAUACUGAACAUGGGCAUUUAUAAAACAUUCCAAGUUUCUGAAACUUUUUAGCAGCACAGAAAAGAAAGACAAGGGCAUUUUUAUUUGACUUUUGUUCACACAAACCUUUUUACUGAAGAGUGUUAGAAUCACACAUGUUGACUGUUUCGUAAAGAAUAAUAAUUCAGCUGUAAACAGUCACAAACAUAAAAGCUUAAAAAUACUUCAAACAAGAGUAGGAACAGCAAAAAAAAGGAAUGAGCAUCUGCCUCUUUUCUUUUUAAUAAAGAAAUAUUUCAAGUUGACAUCAGUGCAUAUUAAGAAAUAGCAUACAAUGCUCCCAACACCCAAUACAUGAGCAAAUUCAUAACAAUUUUCAAAAAUGUAUAAACUAAUUGUGAGGAAAAAAAAUUGUGUAAGAGUAGUCAGGAGAAUGACAUUCAAAAUAAACAGACCGGUUGCUUUGUUUCACUGAAUCAGUUAUAUUCUAGAUAGUUUAACAUGAAAGAGCCAAAACUGUAGUCAUUAGGACCUUCAAAAGAGCAGUAAUUUUGCUACAAGUCAGUUAAGCAGUUUGCAUUUAUUUUUGUUGUACAGUUAAGUAUUAUUCUUAACUUUUGGACUGUUACAUAAAAUCAUGACACAGUGAGGUUUCAUUGUAAAUUUACAUUUCAUACGUCAAAGUCAGAUUAACAGGAGAACACUGCGUUCUGAUUGUAUCCAUUGGCCAUUCUGUUGAGAAUAGCACAAGCUGUAUGACACAUA